This 497-nucleotide ribosomal RNA is filed under the name uncultured bacterium. Its description in RNAcentral is "partial 16S ribosomal RNA". It matches the Rfam family "Bacterial small subunit ribosomal RNA", at positions 28 to 507 of the family's 1533-position model. The record is from RNAcentral.
GAUGAACGCUGGCGGCGUGCCUAAUACAUGCAAGUCGAGCGAACAGAUGAGGAGCUUGCUCCUCUGACGUUAGCGGCGGACGGGUGAGUAACACGUGGAUAACCUACCUAUAAGACUGGGAUAACUUCGGGAAACCGGAGCUAAUACCGGAUAAUAUAUUGAACCGCAUGGUUCAAUAGUGAAAGACGGUUUUGCUGUCACUUAUAGAUGGAUCCGCGCCGCAUUAGCUAGUUGGUAAGGUAACGGCUUACCAAGGCAACGAUGCGUAGCCGACCUGAGAGGGGGAUCGGCCACACUGGACCUGAGCCACGGUCCAGCCUCCUACGGGAGGCAGCAGUAGGGAAUCUUCCGCAAUGGGCGAAAGCCUGACGGAGCAACGCCGCGUGAGUGAUGAAGGUCUUCGGAUCGUAAAACUCUGUUAUUAGGGAAGAACAAAUGUGUAAGUAACUAUGCACGUCUUGACGGUACCUAAUCAGAAAGCCACGGCUAACUACGUG